RNAcentral lists this ribosomal RNA (2098 nucleotides) under Lodderomyces parapsilosis CDC317. Its description in RNAcentral is "Candida parapsilosis CDC317 Bacterial large subunit ribosomal RNA". It matches the Rfam family "Bacterial large subunit ribosomal RNA", at positions 125 to 2524 of the family's 2925-position model. The record is from Rfam by way of RNAcentral. Lineage: Eukaryota; Fungi; Ascomycota; Pichiomycetes; Serinales; Debaryomycetaceae.
AAUUAGUUUGGCAUAAGCCGAUCCUAACUAGAAAUAGUAAAUAAAAAAGUAUGUGAAUUGAAACAUCUUAGUAACAUAUGUAAAAACCAAUAGGGAUAACAGUAGUAUCGGUGAGAGAAUCUGUUGUUGUAUACAAGUAAUACUUAGAAGUAUGAAUAAAGUAGUAUCUACUACUAAUACAUAAACUAUAACAUAAAGUUAAAAGUACUGUAAAGGAAAGAGUUAAAAAAUCAAAUUAUAUAAUAAAAAUAUAUAUAAGAGAUAAAAAGAAAUAUAUUAAUAAAGAGCAACUAUAGUAUAGUGUACCUCUUGUAUAAUGGGUCAGUGAGUUAUUUUUAUAAGCGAAAUAAGAAUUAUAUAUAAUAAGAUAAAGUUUAUAGGAAUAGACCCGAAAGCACAUGAUCUAUAUAUGUAUAGAUAUAUAUUUAAAAUAAAUAUAUGAUCAAAUAGGUAGAUGUAGCAAUAUCUUCUAAAGAUAUGUGUAUAGUAGUGAAAGGCAAAACUGAUGUGCAGAUAGCUGGUUAUCUACGAAAUAUAUGUUAGUAUAGCCCUUAUAAUAGCGUAAACCCUGGUAAAGCACUUAAUACCAUAUGGGAAUAAAUUUAUUUACUAUAUGUAUUAAACCUCUGAACAGGAGUGAUAUGACAUAUAAGGAGUCAGACUUAUUGCGAUAAGGUAAUAAGUCGAAAAGGGAAUAACCUAGACUAUUAAAUGAAGGUCCCAAAUCCUCAUUAAGUGAAUACAAUCCUAUGAGUAGAUAAAUACCUCAAUAUAUUCCAUAAAGGAAUAAUUUUGAUCAGACAAUUAGUCAGUGGGUUUGAUAAUAAUCACCUGUUAAAGAACAUGUAAAAAUGCACUAAUAGAAUUUAUAUCAAAAAAAGAUAUAUAAAUCAAAAGAUAGGAACAAAUAUACGGGUCUAAAUGUAGGAACCGAAUAAUAGAUAUAAUAAAAAAUAUUAUAUAGUAGUAGAUUAUAUAGUGAUAAUAACUAUAAAGACAAUGCUGACUUGAGUAACGAUAGGUAAUUAAGGAUUACCCCUACAAAACACAAGGUUUAACUAUAAAUUAACGGUAUCUAAGUAUAUAUAUGAAGAUAUAUAUAUGAUGAUAGAUAGUACAGGAAAAUGUAGUAACCGUACCGCAGUCCGACCCAGGUGUGUAAAUGAUAAAAAAUAAUCAUAAUAUAAAUCUUAUAACUAAUAAGAAAGAUAUUGAGUAGGAAUGGGUGAAGUAUCAUAAAUGAACUCGGCAAAUAAGGCAAGGCCUGAAUAGUACGACUGUUUACCAAAAACACAGCUUACUGCAAAUAGGAAACUAUCGGUAUAGUAAGUGAUAUCUGUCCGGUGUAAGUUAGAUAAAUAAAUAAUUGACUUAUAAACGACGGUCUUAUCAUGAGGAUCUGAAAGUAGCAAAAUUCAUUGGCAUAUAAUUGGUGUCCCGCAUGAAUGAUUAUACGAUACUAUAGCUGUAUCUAUGGUAUACCCAGUGAAAUAGUAAUCGCAGUGAAGAUACUGUGUAGUCAUAGAUUGACAAAAAGACCCUAUGCAGCUUUACUAUAUUCUUAUACUGUUAUAUAUAUAUAUAUUUAAAUUAAAUAUUUUUAUUUAUAUGUUUAUUUCUUUAUAUAUAUAACUAACCUUUAUUAAGGUACCAUAUAAGAUGGUUAGUUUCGAUGGGGCGUCGGCAUCACAAAACAUAACUGAUGUGUCUAAAUGAUAUUUUAUAUUCCCUUAUAUUUUAUUACUUUUUAGUUUUAUUUAUAAGGCCAUCAUCUUUUUAAGAUAAUAAUAGAAUAAAUAAGUACAGAUACACUAGUUGGCAACUAGUAUUAAUUAAUAUAAUAUUAUUUAUUAUAUUAUUCCUCAUUUUUGAUGUGGAAUCAUAUAUGUAAUACAUAUAUAAUUAAUUUUAUUUAUAAGGAUAAUAACAUAACUGUGCUAUGAUAAUGACACAUACUUGUGGAAUUAGUACUUAAGUAUAGUAUAUUGAACAGGCAAUAUCAUUAGAAUUGAGUGUCGAUUACGGAUUAAAGUUACGCUAGGGAUAUUAAGUUGUCCCCGUAUAUCGUGAGAUAUACUUAAUUAAUAGGGUUAAUUAC